RNAcentral lists this ribosomal RNA (1925 nucleotides) under marine metagenome. RNAcentral's name for it is "bacterial LSU rRNA". It matches the Rfam family "Bacterial large subunit ribosomal RNA", at positions 1 to 2002 of the family's 2925-position model. The record is from RNAcentral.
UCAAGCGCGAAAAGGGCGUUUGGUGAAUGCCUUGGCAGUAAGAGGCGAUGAAGGACGUGAUACUCUGCGAUAAGCCAUGGGGAGCUGAGAAUAAGCUUUGAUCCAUGGAUUUCCGAAUGGGGCAACCCACCUGAUACUUUGUUGUUAUUGCAGCUUUGGUUGCAGCUAACAGCGGGGUUAACCAGGUAUUUCUAGACUGAAUACAUAGGUUUAGAAAAGCAAACCCGGGGAACUGAAACAUCUAAGUACCCGGAGGAAAGGAAAUCAACAGAUACUCCCCUAGUAGCGGCGAGCGAACGGGGACCAGCCGAGCCAUGAGAGUGACAAGAAUAUCCUGGAAAGGAUAGCCAGAGUGGGUGACAGCCCCGUAUUGGAAGCUCAAUUGGACGUAUUAAGUAGGGCGGGACACGUGAAAUCCUGUCUGAACAUCGGAGGACCACCUUCGAAGGCUAAGUACUCCUUACUGACCGAUAGUGAACCAGUACCGUGAGGGAAAGGUGAAAAGCACCCCGACGAGGGGAGUGAAACAGUUUCUGAAACCGGACGCCUACAAGCAGUCGGAGGGAUCUUGAGUCCUGACGGCGUACCUUUUGUAUAAUGGGUCAUCGACUUGGUCUCACGAGCAAGCUUAAGCCGAUAGGUGUAGGCGCAGCGAAAGCGAGUCUUAAUAGGGCGAUUGAGUUUGUGGGAUCAGACCCGAAACCGAGUGAUCUAGGCAUGUCCAGGAUGAAGGUUAGGUAACACUAACUGGAGGUCCGAACCCACACCUGUUGAAAAAGGUCGGGAUGAGGUGUGCCUAGGGGUGAAAGGCCAAUCAAACUCGGAGAUAGCUGGUUCUCUGCGAAAUCUAUUUAGGUAGAGCGUCGUCCGAAUACCCUCGGGGGUAGAGCACUGGAUGGGUAAUGGGGCCUUACCGGCUUACUGAUCCUAACCAAACUCCGAAUACCGAGGAGUACUAGACGGCAGACACACAUCGGGUGCUAACGUCCGGUGUGAAAAGGGAAACAACCCUGACCUACGACUAAGGCCCCUAAUUCAUGGCUAAGUGGGAAAGCAGGUGGGACGACCAAAACAACCAGGAGGUUGGCUUAGAAGCAGCCAUCCUUUAAAGAUAGCGUAACAGCUCACUGGUCUAAAUAAGUUGUCCUGCGGCGAAGAUGUAACGGGGCUCAAGCCAUGAGCCGAAGUCUAGGGUGUAUAGCAAUAUACGCGGUAGCAGAGCGUAGUGUGACAUAGUUCCUUGUCUCCUUACUUGGUUCGCCAAGAUUGGAGACGUGGAGCUUUCUGUGAAGCCCCCCUGUGAGGGAUGGGGUGGAGAGAUCACUAGUGAGAAUGAUGACAUGAGUAGCGACAAAGGGAGUGAGAGACUCCCUCGCCGAAAGUCCAAGGGUUCCUGCUUAAAGCUAAUCUGAGCAGGGUAAGCCGACCCCUAAGGCGAGGCCGAAAGGCGUAGUCGAUGGGAACCAGGUUAAUAUUCCUGGGCCGUGGAGUGGUGACGGAUCUGAGACGUAGUUCAUCCUUAUCGGAUUGAAUGGGCUGCUAACAGGUUCCUGGAAAUAGCCCUCCUUUAAGAUCGUACCCUAAACCGACACAGGUGGACUGGUAGAGAAUACCAAGGCGCUUGAGAGAACCACAUUUAAGGAACUCGGCAAAAUACCUCCGUAAGUUCGCGAGAAGGAGGCCCGUUCAGAACGCAAGUUUUGGGCGGGGGCACAAACCAGGGGGUGGCGACUGUUUACUAAAAACACAGGGCUCUGCGAAGUCGUAAGACGACGUAUAGGGUCUGACGCCUGCCCGGUGCCUGAAGGUUAAAAGGAGGAGUGCAAGCUCCGAAUUGAAGCCCAGGUAAACGGCGGCCGUAACUAUAACGGUCCUAAGGUAGCGAAAUUCCUUGUCGGGUAAGUUCCGACCUGCACGAAUGGCGU